This 47-nucleotide ribosomal RNA is filed under the name Cryptomonas paramaecium. RNAcentral's name for it is "Cryptomonas paramecium partial Bacterial small subunit ribosomal RNA". Lineage: Eukaryota; Cryptophyceae; Cryptomonadales; Cryptomonadaceae. The record is from RNAcentral.
GUCGUAACAAGGUAGCCGUACUGAAGGUGCGGCUGGAUCACCUCCUU